UGUUCAGAGUUUACAAGGCGGGGAGGGAGGUGGGGUUUCUCUGGGUGCCGGCUCAUGUGGGUGUGAAAGGGAACGAGGAGGCGGAUGAGGAGGCAAAGAAGGCGGUGAAGGAGGAAACAGUGCAAAUUCAUUUUCAAUAUGGGGCACCCGAGUACAUGGAAAAAAUAAACAGGGCUCUAAAAGAAAGGUGGCAAAAAUCUGGGGAGAAGGAAAGGAAGGGAAGGGCGUACUUUACAAUACAGGGAAAUGUAAAUAAAGAUAGGUGCACUUUUAGGUGCAUAAGAAAAGAUGAUGUAGCAAUCACAAGACUGAGGCUUGGACACUGUGGGCUGAGGAGUGGGCUGGCUCUGAUUGGCAGACACCCAGAUGGCAGGUGUGAGUGUGGAGAAAGAGAGACUUGUAAAACAUGUACUUCUCCAGUGGGGGCGCUAUUCCAGGCAAAGGAGGACUCUGUACCGGAGGCUUGGAUCAGCCGGGGAAUCAUUUUUUAAUUUGCGCACCGUUUUAAAUCUGGAUUCAGUGGAUAAAACAAAGGAAUUGAUGGACUACAUAUUACAGUGUGCCUUGCUCUACACCACCGCCGGGGGCCAGAGGCGUCUGCGCGUCCACAACCUCAGUCUGAACUGCAGCUCCCAGCUGAUGGAGCUGUUCAAGAGCUGCGAGACGGACUCGCUCAUCAACUUCUUCUCCAAAACAGGUGACCAUCCAACUCUCUCUGUUCGUUCCCGACCCCUCUCCUCACCCUAGGACCAGGCGGCUGAGUGCAGCAGGAAGCUCUUCAUCUUCCACGCCUCCAUCCCGACCGCUGAGGCUCCUGGGAAGUUGAAGAACCGAGACGAUAAGAAGCUGGUCAGCACGGACAAGGAGAAGCCUAUCAAGGAAUGCUGAUCUUUCAGCUGUCCAAGGACUGUGUAGCUCAGGGCUUCCGCGUGGACCUCUUCCUGUUCCCCAGCCAGUACCUGGACAUCGCCACCAUGGGGGAUGUGCCCGCGCACACCGGGGGCGCCGUCUACAAGUACAGCAACUUCCAGGAGUGUGUGUUUGGGUGGGUUGGUGGGUCAGUUGUGUGUGCGUGUGUGUGUCUGUGUUUGUGUGUGUGGGGGUGUGAGUGUUAUAUUGCUUGUGUGUUUGUUGCCGUGUUGAUGGGUUGAGUGUGAGUGUGUGUGUGUGUGUGUCUGUGCGUGUGUGUCUGUGCGUUUAGAACACAUUACAAUCUAUUUAAACAUGGAUGUUUUUGUGGCCCGAAAUGGGAAAACAAUCUAUUAAUGAAACUCUGGAUACUUUCUAGUUAGGCUAUUGUCUCUGGCUACAGGCCAGGCAUGUGCACUUGAAGCAGACUUUAGAUCAGAUGUAAAAAAACAACGCUUAGCUUUGCUUUAUUAUUAUAUUUACUCAGUAGUUGGCCUCAAGUGAUAAAGAAAGAGUAGCAAUUAAUUAGGAUUCAAAAGACUGUUUAUCACACUUUGUUCAAUUUACAAUUGAUUUGAAAAUAAAACCAACACACCCACAAACUCAAAAUAAAAAGUAUGAUAUCACGUUUGCUGUAUUGUCGCAGUAAUUUACACACAAUACAUGCAUACACACAAAUAUGCACAUAGAGAAUCCCAAUGCAUUGCACACAAAGCCAAAUGAAAAUGUGUACCUUUUUCAAUAGAGAGAACAACACUAUAAAUUAGCUUCUUUCAAUGUUAUGAAUUUUGAGAGGCAGACGAAUUGUUGUAUGUUUUUGUAAACGCAUCUGAAAGGCCUUUGCCCCCACACCUUUUGUGAUUUCUUUUUUUGUAUUGGAGGAAAAUAAACAAUGUUUCCGCGGUCUUGCUGUGGUUCUUCAGUCCUCCUCAGCCAAUGAUCUGACGCACGUACACAGUUCAACCCUUGUAUUUGGAGCAGCCGUUUGUGAUCAGUUGUGACCUGAGCCUUUUUAUCCGCCCUUCAUUUGACUGAAGUCGAUUUCACCCCGAUAUUGAAGUCCUUCAAUAGCUUGGCACCCAUUAUGGCACUGGUCAAAGGUCAGCCCGGAGAGUCAAACACACUGGGUGACUCUGGGAGGAGCUGAGCAUGCUGGGAAAUGGAGUACAGAGAAGCGUAUCUCUGAAACCAUAGAGAAGUGGUGAGAAAUGUAUAAUCCUUUAUAAAUGAUUAUUGAGAUGAUUCAUACUAUUAUUUAUAAGGUUUGUUAAUGAUUUACAAUUUAAUACGUUAGUUCUUUAUGAACACCGAAUAUUGCUGCAGUUCAUGUUUUGUUCAGCUUGCUAGAAAGCAAUUGUUAAAGGGUUGAUAUUACCACCGUGCGUCAGUGUGAUUAGCCAUGACGAGGCUAAGCACACACACCUGGUGACAUAAUAUCACCACUUCAAUUCAAAGUCUUAUUGGUCACAUGUUUGCAAAAAUAACAUUUUACACACAGUAAAAUUAAAAAGGAGUCAUCACUCUGUCAUUCACUCUAUGUAUUUUUAUGUGAGCUCAUCUAAAGUAGGGACAAUCUAUGCCUAACUAAGAAUUUAAAGAUCACAUUUAAAGCUGGAAAAACCUGAAGUACCAUUGCAACAGUACCGAUACUCAUAAUAAUAAUAAAAAUUUUAUUACAUUUAUUUCACUGACGCUUUUAUCAAAAGCAAUGUCAUAAGUUCAUAAACUCAUUCAACAUGAAGAUAUGACCCAACAAGUGCAAGAAUCACGCAAGUACAAACAUUUAAUCAGUAAGCAGAGUUCUGAAUUAAUCAAACCAGUAAAUUCAGUUAUUUAAAUGUUUUCUAUUAAAAAAAAUAUUUUAGGGUAGCACAUGUUUAGUUUGUGUCAUUUCGUUAGUUGGACAGUAGCCUAUCAGGAACUUAUCAGGAAAGGUGUGGUAUAAUGUCAUAUUCUGGUCAAUAUUUCGAUUUUAUUGAUCAUUAUUUAGCCUUGUGAAAUUAAGUCUUGUUCCUUUUUUCUUACAAGUUUUCUAAUAAUACGAGUCAAGAGAUGUUCCUAUUAUAGGAGAAAGCCACUAAUUGCCUAGCUCCUUGAGUUUGUUAAUCUGCGUCACAAUCACACACAGCUGCUCAGUUGGUAAAGCUGUUGGUGUUCUUUGGGUUGGUAUAAGGAUUAUAAUUUAUAUUACUUUGUUGUAUACAAAAUAUAUCAGGUUUCAGAAGAGAGCGUGGUUGAAGAGACUUGAACCCAUGUCUCCAGAAUGAGGGUGACCUGCUCUAACAACUACACCACUGAGACACUUUUCAUUAAGUGGUUGGAGGUUAUAAUUGACAUUCAAUUUCACGCGACGUGAAUCGUUAAGUCAAUUAUGAACUCUGAUUAAGUCUGAACCAGUUGCUCAGUGGGGCAGUGGAUAGAGCUGUAUGUGUUCUGUUCUUGAGUCGUGAAUAUGACCUGGGUUCAAAUCCUGUCAGGAACACUCACCUUGGAUUGGAGUCUUUUUCCAACAAUGUCAUGUGUAUUGUAGGGUCAACAAUGAACUUUCUCCCUUUCUAAGUCGGUGUCUCUGUGGCGCAGGUGAUAGAGCUGUUGAGGAUCUGUUCUGGAGACACCGGUUCGAUUCCUGCAAUUGGGGGUUUUGUGAGAAUCACUCUCUGGUGAUUGGAUGCGUGUGAAUGACUGUCUCUGUGAAUGGAUGUGUCUGUGAAUCAGUUAAUUCACAGCCAUCCAAUCACACUGACAGUCAUUGGGAAUGAAUGGGUGAGUGGGAAUGACUGUCUGGGAGAGUGGAUGACUGUGAUUGAGUGCACUCAUUCACAGCCAUCCAUUCCCACAGACAGUCAUUCGAAAUGAAUGUGUGAGUGAAUGGACCCAAUCAGCAGAGAGUCGUUCCCAUAAGACCCCCCCCGUAGGAGUCAGACCGAUGACUCCAGAACAGAUCCUCAACAGCUCAAACACCGAGAGGAGGGGACGUUUUGAUAAACGUUGCUCUGAUAGUUUAC
This is a long non-coding RNA of Gadus chalcogrammus (walleye pollock), 3914 nucleotides long. RefSeq lists it as uncharacterized. NCBI's taxonomy places the organism in Eukaryota, Metazoa, Chordata, Actinopteri, Gadiformes, Gadidae. The transcript has 4 exons. The record is from RefSeq and is a predicted model, not a curated record.